GUGAAUCAUCAAAUUUUUGAACGCAAAUUGCACUCUCUUCGGAGAGUAUGCCUGUUUGAGGGUCAGUAUUAAUAAAAAUCGGUGUGUUGCUUCUUUGUGACGCUCCGGAGUUUGGGUCAUCUUAAUAUCCUUUAGGUUUUAAGAGGCUUAAAAUUGACUUUUUUUGCGCAUUUUAGAUGUACAUAAAUUCUUUUUUUUUUUCUUUUGUUUUAUUCCUAAAAUUCUUAUAAAUUGCACCA
RNAcentral lists this unclassified non-coding RNA (239 nucleotides) under Rhizophagus sp. (in: glomeromycetes). RNAcentral's name for it is "partial contains 5.8S ribosomal RNA and internal transcribed spacer 2". The stretch from base 1 to 65 matches the Rfam family "5.8S ribosomal RNA", at positions 84 to 154 of the family's 154-position model. Lineage: Eukaryota; Fungi; Glomeromycota; Glomeromycetes; Glomerales; Glomeraceae. The record is from RNAcentral.